This 64-nucleotide transfer RNA is filed under the name Dibolia rugulosa. RNAcentral describes it as "tRNA-Phe". The record is from RNAcentral. Lineage: Eukaryota; Metazoa; Arthropoda; Insecta; Coleoptera; Chrysomelidae.
ACUCAAAUAGCUUAUAUUUAGAGCAUAAUAUUGAAGAUAUUAAGGAAAUGCAUAUUUUUGGGUA